Molecule: ribosomal RNA, 275 nt
Filed under: uncultured prokaryote
Description: partial 16S ribosomal RNA
Rfam family: Bacterial small subunit ribosomal RNA
Source: RNAcentral
UACGGAGGAUCCGAGCGUUAUCCGGAUUUAUUGGGUUUAAAGGGUGCGCAGGCGGGGGAUUAAGUCGGCGGUGAAAUUUUGCAGCUCAACUGUAAAAGUGCCUUCGAAACUGGUUUCCUUGAGUGUAGAUGAAGUAGGCGGAAUUUGUGGUGUAGCGGUGAAAUGCAUAGAUAUCACGAGGAACUCCGAUUGCGCAGGCAGCUUACUAAACUACUACUGACGCUCAGGCACGAAGGCGUGGGGAUCAAACAGGAUUGGAUACCCCGGUAGUCCCU